This 446-nucleotide ribosomal RNA is filed under the name uncultured bacterium. Its description in RNAcentral is "bacterial SSU rRNA". It matches the Rfam family "Bacterial small subunit ribosomal RNA", at positions 29 to 522 of the family's 1533-position model. The record is from RNAcentral.
AACGAACGCUGGCGGCAGGCUUAACACAUGCAAGUCGAACGCCCCGCAAGGGGAGUGGCAGACGGGUGACGUAACACGUGGGAACGUACCCUUUACUACGGAAUAACGCAGGGAAACUUGUGCUAAUACCGUAUGUGCCCUUCGGGGAAAGAUUUAUCGGUAAAGGAUCGGCCCGCGUUGGAUUAGCUAGUUGGUGGGUAAAGGCCUACCAAGGCGACGAUCCAUAGCUGGUCUGAGAGGAUGAUCAGCCACAUUGGGACUGAGACACGGCCCAAACUCCUACGGGAGGCAGCAGUGGGGGAAUAUUGGACAAUGGGCGCAAGCCUGAUCCAGCCAUGCCGCGUGAGUGAUGAAGGCCUUAGGGUUGUAAAGCUCUUUCACCGGAGAAGAUAAUGACGGUAUCCGGAGAAGAAGCCCCGGCUAACUUCGUGCCAGCAGCCGCGGUU